UCGGGAAUUUUGGGCAAUGGGCGAAAGCCUGACCCAGCAACGCCGCGUGAAGGAUGAAGUAUUUCGGUAUGUAAACUUCGUAAGAAUAGGAAGAAUAAAUGACGGUACUAUUUGUAAGGUCCGGCUAACUACGUGCCAGCAGCCGCGGUAAUACGUAGGGACCAAGCGUUGUUCGGAUUUACUGGGCGUAAAGGGCGCGUAGGCGGUGUGUCAAGUCAGUUGUGAAAUCUCCGAGCUUAACUCGGAACGGUCAACUGAUACUGUCACACUAGAGUACAGAAGGGGCAAUCGGAAUUCUUGGUGUAGCGGUGAAAUGCGUAGAUAUCAAGAGGAACACCUGAGGCGAAGGCGGGUUGCUGGGCUGAUACUGACGCUGAGGCGCGAAAGCUAGGGUAGCAAACGGGAUUAGAUACCCACGUAGUCCCUGAGCGGGCUGGCAAGGCGCAU
This 447-nucleotide ribosomal RNA is filed under the name uncultured bacterium. RNAcentral describes it as "bacterial SSU rRNA". It matches the Rfam family "Bacterial small subunit ribosomal RNA", at positions 355 to 825 of the family's 1533-position model. The record is from RNAcentral.